This 861-nucleotide long non-coding RNA is filed under the name Equus caballus (horse). RNAcentral's name for it is "lncRNA (ENSECAG00000049824.1)". The record is from RNAcentral. Lineage: Eukaryota; Metazoa; Chordata; Mammalia; Perissodactyla; Equidae.
UUGUAGAGCGCCGCCACACGCCCCGCCCAGUACGGUUUCUCCCGUCCCGUUAGGCGGGAGGGGCGCGUCCGGAGCGCGGUCUGACCUUGGGUGUCCUUGCGGGCGUGUCUUUCCGGGCAGGUGGUGCGCGCAGGUGCUGGCUAGCGGCAGCGUUACGUAGCCUUUAGGAGCUCAAGCUGUGGGCAGACUUUUGUGGUUUGUGUAAACUUGGGCAUCUUGUCCUUUUCCUCUCCAUGCCUCAGUUUCUUCAUUUACGACAUGGAAGUGAAGAUGGCAGCUACCUCAUGACUGGUGCAGAGUGUUCCGAACUAGGCAGUGAGCAUACUAAAAAGGAGUGAUGGGUUUUCUAGGGUGAGAAAGGGGCAUCCUGGUUAGGGGGAGAUGGGCAGGUGCUAACAGAAAUAAUAACAACAGUAACAUUCAGCCCUGAUGUGCUAGCACUGUGCUAAGUGCUUUACUUUCUUCAGCUCAUUUUAUUGUCCUAACAAAGUACCAGCCUCUUGCUUAUGAGUCGUCCACUCUCCGGGUACUCCUGGGAUGGCAGGAGCAGCCAUGGACCCAUCUUGACAUGGCAGUUCCUGCUGCAGCUGUGAAGGGGGUGGCCUGGCUCGGGGGACUGCACAAGAACGAGACCCACGUGAAUUACAAGCUCAAACCUUCAAAGCAAUAUUAAUAAUGAGACUGUCGCACCCAUCCUUUGGGACUGCCUGAGCAUCCCUAAGGCCCUCCAGCUUUGUCCUGAGGACCACCAAAUCAGCUCCACAACCCUCCCCCCAUAUUUAUACCAGUAGUUUAAUUUUCUCGCCUUAAUACCUUAGCUAAAACCACCGAAACCAUAUUAAUAAGACUCCUCUUCAUCCC